This 739-nucleotide long non-coding RNA is filed under the name Ananas comosus (pineapple). RNAcentral's name for it is "long non-coding RNA (ACOM_LNC028341)". The record is from RNAcentral. Lineage: Eukaryota; Viridiplantae; Streptophyta; Magnoliopsida; Poales; Bromeliaceae.
CAAAAAAAAAAAAGGAAAAAUAAAAGGACUCUGGCUCUUGAAUUCGGCUACGACUUCGACAACGACAAUCACAACGACUUCUAUAACAAUAGGAGAUAUGCAUGCAUACGCAUAGUGUAAGUGCAUUUUUUUAUCAAUUUGAUCAACCCGACCAUCUUCGUGAUAGGUUUUGAACCGAUAAAAUUUGACAUUAAAUUGUCACUUCCAUUGUGCAUAUGCAUCGCUAAUCUCUAAACCGUGCGUUUUUUUGUCAAUUUGAUCAACCCGACCAUCUUCGUGAUAGGUUUCGAACCGAUCAAAUUUGACAUUAAAUUGUCGCUUCCGUCGUACGCAUCGCUAAUCUCUAAACCGUGCGGCUAUCUUCGUGAUAGGCUCGACAUGGUCAAAAUGAUUGAUCGAACCGGAUAUUUUACUACGUAAACCGUGCGGCCAUCUUCGCGGUAGGCUCAACAUGGUCAAAAUGGGUGAUCGAGCUCCGUUUAUUUCGAUACGUAAACCGUGCGGCCAUCUUUGCGAUAGGUUCGACAUGGUCAAAAGAAUUAAUCGAGCGGCUAUCUUCGUGAUACGCUCGACAUGAUUAAACUCCGCGUACUUGAACAAAACGUGACAAAAAAAUAUAUAUAACAAUAAGAAUGAUAAUAAAAAAUAGACGGGUUCUGUUUUGAUUCAUCAUCUUCGUUCGAUUCGAUCGUAUUGCUUGACGUGAUAAAUUUCGUAUAAAAAAAAAAUGAGAUACGAA